This 720-nucleotide unclassified non-coding RNA is filed under the name Caenorhabditis elegans. RNAcentral describes it as "Non-coding transcript of protein-coding gene fbxc-17". The record is from RNAcentral. Lineage: Eukaryota; Metazoa; Nematoda; Chromadorea; Rhabditida; Rhabditidae.
AUGAAUAGACCUGUGAGCUACCCAGCAUUGGGAUUUUUGUUGCAGCAUUUGGAGCCGAAUUUGAGAUUCCAACUCUGCACUAGAUGCCCUUCCAUUCAGAACCUGGAAAAGUCGGUACCCCUGCACAUCAGGUACCUGAAACUUACUGACCAUCGUAUAAUAAUAAACGGGUCUACCUAUUUAUUAUCUGUUUUUGACCAAGAAUUUGACGUCGAACAAUAUGAUAUUCAAGAUGCCAGAGAAAUGGAGCAAGAUCCAAAUGAAGUAAGGCUUGACGUGCGAGUUGCUCCAACUAGACUCAGAUUCAAUGUGAAUAACGAUCCUGUCAGACGUGAAGGGGAACUUGUAAUAUGGCUCCUAGAUUUGUGGUACCCAAAAGUCUUAAGGCGCUGGAUGAGACGUGAAAGAGAGCCCGGAACUCAGUACACGUUUCAGACUGAACAGGAAGAGAUAGAUCAGGCUAUGGUGAAUAUUAGGAGAGCUUAUUGGAGCAGGGUUCAGUGAGUUUUUUUUUUGAAACUUUUUGUUUAAAUUUUAAAGUUAAUUCUCACUUAGACAAGCAGGAAACAAUCGGAUCACAUUAAACUUGAACGGGACCUCCAAAGUGGUAAUCAAGAAGUUUCAAAAUGGAAAUUCGUGGAUUUUGAAAAUGAAAGUGGAAAGCCGAUGAAUAAACUGAUAUUUUUAAUUCUUUUUUUUUGAGUAAUGAAUAUACAUAUG